This 571-nucleotide long non-coding RNA is filed under the name Androctonus crassicauda. Lineage: Eukaryota; Metazoa; Arthropoda; Arachnida; Scorpiones; Buthidae. The record is from RNAcentral.
CCAAUAAAUAAAUAUAAUAAAAAAUAAGUAGAUAUAAAGAAAAGAUUUGGAUUUGAUUCUUCACAAAAUGAGUCUAACAAAAAUAUUUAAGAACUUUCUUCAGCAAAGAUUGAUUGGAGAUCUGAAAGAUCAUAAAGAGAAAUUUUAAUAAUUGAAAAAAGGCAAGCUGAGAUUAGGAAAUAAAUUAAAAAUUUUUUUGGAAUUUAUUAUUUGCUCAGUUAUUAAAUCAAAUCAAAUGUGAGAGUUAAAAAACAAUAUGAUACACCAUAGUAAACAGAGACCAGGUUCGGGAAACAAAAGAAAAACACAAAAAACAAGCUUCAAAGCCGAACCAAGGGCUUUUUUAUUUAAGGUGCUUUCGGGUUUGGACCCAUCAUCAGUGAAUGCACACUGGAGGCGCGACGGGACGGAGAGGGUUCCCGGAUGCACUGGUCACCUUGGGCUCCGCCUAUACAACAAUAAAUUGCAUAGGCCUUUUUCCCGACUGCCAGAAGGAGUAGACGGGCCCGGCACACGUGCACGGCUGGGGGCUGGUGGCUUGCAGGCCGGGUGGGCGUGAAAUGAGUGGAAC